UAGGUGGCGAGCGUUAUCCGGAUUUACUGGGUGUAAAGGGCGUGUAGGCGGGCUUGCAAGUCAGAUGUGAAAUUCCAGGGCUCAACCCUGGAACUACAUUUGAAACUGUAGGUCUUGAGUGCUGGAGAGGCAAUCGGAAUUCCGUGUGUAGCGGUGAAAUGCGUAGAUAUACGGAGGAACACCAGUGGCGAAGGCGGAUUGCUGGACAGUAACUGACGCUGAGGCGCGAAAGCGUGGGGAGCAAA
Molecule: ribosomal RNA, 245 nt
Filed under: uncultured bacterium
Lineage: Bacteria
Description: partial 16S ribosomal RNA
Rfam family: Bacterial small subunit ribosomal RNA
Source: RNAcentral